RNAcentral lists this ribosomal RNA (400 nucleotides) under uncultured ammonia-oxidizing bacterium. Its description in RNAcentral is "bacterial SSU rRNA". It matches the Rfam family "Bacterial small subunit ribosomal RNA", at positions 210 to 602 of the family's 1533-position model. The record is from RNAcentral.
ACCUUGCACUAUUGGAGCGGCCGAUGUCGGAUUAGCUAGUUGGUGGGGUAACGGCCCACCAAGGCUGCGAUCCGUAGCUGGUCUGAGAGGACGACCAGCCACACUGGGACUGAGACACGGCCCAGACUCCUACGGGAGGCAGCAGUGGGGAAUUUUGGACAAUGGGGGCAACCCUGGUCCAGCCAUGCCGCGUGGGUGAAGAAGGCCUUCGGGUUGUAAAGCCCUUUCGGUGGGGACGAAACGGUGCGUGCUAACACCACGCACUACUGACGGUACCCACAGAAGAAGCACCGGCUAACUACGUGCCAGCAGCCGCGGUAAUACGUAGGGUGCAGGCGUUAAUCGGAAUUACUGGGCGUAAAGCGUGCGCAGGCGGUUUGCUAAGACAGGUGUGAAAUCC